This 832-nucleotide ribosomal RNA is filed under the name uncultured bacterium. RNAcentral's name for it is "bacterial SSU rRNA". It matches the Rfam family "Bacterial small subunit ribosomal RNA", at positions 24 to 863 of the family's 1533-position model. The record is from RNAcentral.
UCAGGAUGAACGUUGGCGGUGUGCCUAAUACAUGCAAGUCGAACGGAGUGUACGAGAUAGCAAUAUUUUGUAUUACUUAGUGGCGAACGGGUGAGUAACGCGUUGGUGAUCUGCCCCGAAGUGGGGAAUAACAAUUCGAAAGAAUUGCUAAUACCUCAUGUUAUCUUAGAGAUUAGAUGCUCUUUGAUCAAAGGAUUUAUUCGCUUCGGGAGGAGCCUGCGUCCCAUCAGCUAGUUGGUAAGGUAACGGCUUACCAAGGCUAUGACGGGUAGGGGACCUGAGAGGGUGGCCCCCCACAAUGGAACUGAAACACGGUCCAUACACCUACGGGUGGCAGCAGUAGGGAAUAUUAGUAAUGGGCGAMAGCCUGAACUAGCAACACCGCGUGUGCGAUGAAGGCCUUCGGGUUGUAAAGCACUUUUCGAGAGGAAGAGGAAGGACGGUACUCUCGGAAUAAGUCUCGGCUAACUACGUGCCAGCAGCCGCGGUAAAACGUAGGAGGCGAACGUUAUCCGGAUUUACUGGGCGUAAAGCGCGUGUAGGUGGUUUGGUAAGUAGGGCGUGAAAGCUCCUGGCUCAACUAGGAGAGGUCGUUCUAAACUGCCAGACUUGAGGAUGGUAGAGGGAGGUGGAAUUCCGGGUGUAGUAGUGAAAUGCGCAGAUAUUCGGAGGAACACCAGUGGCGAAAGCGGCCUCCUGGACCACACCUGACACUCAGACGCGAAAGCUAGGGUAGCAAACGGGAUUAGAGACCCCGGUAGUCCUAGCCGUAAACGAUGUAGACUUGACGUUGGUGGUUUAAUAUCCAUCAGUGUCGUAGCUAACGCGAUAA